This 52-nucleotide ribosomal RNA is filed under the name Klebsiella pneumoniae. RNAcentral describes it as "partial 23S ribosomal RNA". Lineage: Bacteria; Pseudomonadati; Pseudomonadota; Gammaproteobacteria; Enterobacterales; Enterobacteriaceae. The record is from RNAcentral.
UUUAGCUAACCGGUACUAAUGAACCGUGAGGCUUAACCUUACAACGCCGAAG